UCAGCCUAUGUUUUGCUUUUGCUUUUUUAAAAUGGUGCUUUGUUAUGUGCAUAACAUUUUAAUAUGAAUGAUAUCAGAGCUAUCAACUAUUCUCUUACCAAAGUACUCUGGGAAUUUUAAGAGAGGCCCUUCCUGGCCUCCAAGUUCAUGAAGACAUUUUCUGAAAUUUUACUCUUUUGUUCUUGGUUUUUUUCUUCAUUUAUCUGAUGGAAUAUAUAAAUUGUUUUUUCUGUGAGCAGUUCUUGAACCUCUUGAUUAAUUUGAAAAAAUUAGAUUCACAAAUUUUCUUUUUAAACUAUCUUGUCUACACCCCUUCAUUUAUAUAUACAAUGUUCUCAUUACUCCCUAAAUAUUCUGUAUGUACAGUUUUCUUACUUAUUCCUAGAAUUACUUAAAGAACUACUUUAUUUUAAAUGUCACUAAUUUGUUUUACUUUAAAAAAUGCUACCAGGAUCUUUCGAGGUACUAAGUAUUACUAAUUUUUUCUAAUACAAAAUCUGUCCUUCUUAGCUGUAGAGUCUUCUAUCUCAGGAAAUUUCCUUUUAACUUUCUUUUUAAAUUUUUUGUCUAUUCAUGCUUGCAAGUGAUCUGUAAGUUGGCUCUUAAUAUCCUGACCUUUAUAUCUACCAUCUCUUCCCAUUUGGUCCCUUUGUUGUUAUUCUGUGCACUUUAGAACAGUUCUCUGGUUUGCCUCUUACAACAUGAAUUCAUUUUUCUGCAAUAUCGCUGCUGCCUUAUUUUAAAUCUGAUUUAAAUUUUUGUGAUCAUUUUUAUUUGUGUUUUUACAAUCUUUCCUAAUUUAAUCCAUUUCUUAUAUUAGUUUUGGUCUUAUCCCAUCAUUUCUCUUUUGUUUCAUAAUGUACAAGUUUCCCUAAGUCUUUUGAGAUGACAAAGCUUUCUAAAGUGCACUCCUUUUGAAGUAACAAAAUGUCCCCUGCUUUUUAUAGAGUAAGUCUGUUUUCAUUUUUAAAAUCUGCAGAAAUGUUUUAUAGGCUUCAUGUUUUCUUUUAUUUUUUUCUAAGAAGCAUAAUCUAGGAUGGAUUACUGGGAUUGCCCAGGGUUCCCCACACUGACUCCCUGAUUCUUGUUAGAAUUCCCUUCUCACAUAAUGAGCUGAGAACUGUUUAAUAUACUCCCGUCCUAACUAACAUUGGCAGUGGCUUAUUUAGCAUGGUUCUGUUGGACUAAGGGAUAUGGGAUCAGAGAGAUAUGUGUUUCAACCCCAGAUCUGCCGCGCAUUAGCUUGCCAGUUUUGGACAAGUCACUUAACUACUCUAAGCCUUGGAUUUAUCUGUAAAAAGGGAAUAACUACCUGCCUCACAGACCCAUCGUUGAUCAUUUCACCAGCAAUGUAUAACUGGUUGGACAUAAUUGAUAGUUUUCCUACCCCAUCCCCAAAUUUGGUUGGUUUGCUUAGAAGGUAAAAGCUAUAUAAUGGACAAAGCCAAGUGGCUCCAGCCAAGAUGGCAAAUCAAAAACAAUGUUACACUCCAGGGAAAUGGCAGAAGUUAGUGUGUCAUACUUACAGACUUAAAAGAUAUGUAGUCCCAUCAUAUCCCCAUUAAAGUCACUAACUUGGUCUUUAAAAAAGACCUUGAUCCUUGACAAUAAGAGUAAACCACGCCAAACUGACAAAAGUAGUUGCUUGAAGUAUUUGUUGUCCUAGAUAUGAUACCACUACUAGGGCAGAUUCACAGAACCUCAGGCACAUGUACAUAACGAAUAUGUCGUUAUGUACAUAUAUGUACAUAUAUGUCCUCCUGCGUCUUUAUCAUAAAGAGGAAUCAGAAAUAAUUCAUGUUCAUUUAGAAUGAUCAAGAGUGAAUGGCCUUGCCAAAGACUGUGUUAUGUAUCUUGCCUUCUGUCAUAUAUUUCAAAGGGAUCUGGAAGUUGGACAUACUAUGAAACAUCCUUCUGGUCCACUAUAUUGGUGACCUUAUGCUAGUCACACCAGAAAAACAAGAAUUUGGCAAAUGUUUUGGGGUCCUUAGUAAGACAUAGACAUUACAGAAGGAGAAGGUACAUCCCAUGAAGAUUGAGGGGCCUACCACAUCAGUAAAAUUUUUAGAAGUUCCAUGGUCUGGGGCAUGCCAGGACAUGACUUCCAAAGUAAAGGACAAAUUAUUGCAUCUCGUUUGCUUUACUACAAAGAAGGAAGCACAAUAGCUGGUGGAUCUCUUCAGGUUUUAGAGGCAGCAUAUUCCAUAGCUGGGGAUCCCACUCCAACCCAUCUCUCAGAUACAAUGAAAGCCUUCCCACUUUGCAUGGGAGACUUAACUAUAGUUCUGUGAGGAACUCUAAAGAGAUUUUCAGUAGGUCCAGACUGUAUGCAAGUGGCUAAGCCACUUGAGCUUGUGUCCCUGAAGUUGCAAUAGACUAGUAGAUAAGUGUGGUGAGAAAAUAUGUCAGGAUGGAAGUGUGAAUGGUCCCACUUAAUAACACUGCCAGUGACCCACUUGGGAAUUUAGAUUUCCCAAUCCCCAACUCUAGAUGCUGUGGGAUAUAGGUCCUGGUUCCCAAAAGGGAAUACCUCUACAAAGGGACACAUUAGAAGUGCCCUUGGACUUUAAGCUACAACUGCUGUGCAGGCACCUAGGGGCCCUAAUGCCAAGAGACUGUGGCCAAGAAUGAGUCACCAUUUCUGGAAGGAGUAAUCGACCCUGACCAUCAGAAAAAAGUAGAAACGUUAUUACACAAUGGGAAUAGAGUGGAAUAUGAUUGGCACCCGGGUGAUUCAGCUGGAUGUUUCUACCUAUUCUCACUCAUUUUUUAUGGUUUGUGGACAAAUACAUGACACAGCCUUAAAAGGGCAUGAUGAUUAGGGACUCAGAUCCCUAAAGCAUGAAAUCUGUGUCAGAGCCACCUAAAAUUGAAGGAGUACUGGCUGAGGAUGAAAGGAGUCUAGAGUGGAUGGUAAAGGAAGAAGUAGGUUAGAUGACAUUAAUGGCUGCAAGAGCAGCUCAGGUGUUGAGAGUCUAUAAUUUGUCCCAUGCACCUUCUUAGAAAUUUCUUCCAGGACAAGACCACCACCAGAGUCGUUGAGAAGCUUCUCCCAGAAUUUAUACGAAGAAGUGAAUCUAGGCAUUGUAAGUGGUGGUCUGUAAUGGAUGCUCUCGUAUAUCACCUAGAUCUUCUUCAAUACUGAAACACGUGGUCCUCAAGUUUUUGGAAGUGCUUCUGGCUGACAGAUCCCACCUGCCUGCCUCUGCAGGAAUUGCAGUCACCUGGAGAGGUAUCUUGCCAAGAUCAGGCCCCUUCCUGGGAGAAGCCUGCAUGCAAUGAAUGGUAGAUACUGUGAUGUAAAGGUCCAGAAGCCUCUCCCAAGCUGGGAUAACUUUGAAGGUCCAUCCCAGAUUUAGAUAUGUCUAUGGGUUUAGCUGAGAGCUUUGUUUGUUGCCAUUACAACAUAACACAGCUUCUCCUUUUACCUUGUUUUUGUUUUUGUUUUUUGGUUUUGUUUUGUUUUGUUUUGUUUUGCCAGGGAUUGAUCCUGUAAACAAUUCCUAAUAAACUUUCUACACGUUAAUCUCUAUCCUAGGACCUACUCCCAUACUCCCACAACAUGUACCUAGCAGUCAUUAAUUCAUUUAUUCAAUAUAUGUCCUUAAUUUGAACAGUUACUAUUGCCUGGCAUUAUGAUAAAGGCAGCGAGGUAGAACAAAAGCAUAAAACACGGACUCUUAUUAAUAAAGAAUUUAUGGGCAAUUUAAGGAGAUACCAUAUAUACACAGAGAACAAGGCAAUGUUAUACAAAUAAAAUCAAAACCUGUAAACAUUGAGAAGAUUAUGGUCAGGGGCUCAGACUUCCCGGAAUGAGGGUUUGGGUUGCAUCAUCAGGUGAGUCUAUCAAAACCCUGCAGGAGGUACUUGGUAAAGGCAAGUACAAAGUUGGAUUAUAUACAAUAAAUUGUUAAUUUCAUAGCAAGACAGCAAGAGCAAAAAUUAGCAACCAUAUUGCUGGAAAGAUAUGGACUAACUAUGCAGUUACCUUAGUGUGGCUUGCAGUCAUCCUCCCCUAUUUGUGACUAUGUGGGUGAGUCUGUCCAUUUUAUAGGGAAAAAAUUAGCAAGCUCAUCUUGACACCCUCCCACAUGCUUAGAAAAAAAAUCAUCUUCUUCGGGCUGCCACUUUAUCAGUUAAAAAAAUAAAAAGCUGACAUUUCAACUCUCCAUUUACUGACUCCGUGAUUGGUUCCAGCCCCCAGCUGGGUAGGGGUGGAAGUGGCAAUAUUGAUUCCCCAUGAUUCCAGUCCCAGUUAACUGUUGACAAAGUAGCCCGAUUGCUGAGUAGGUGAUCUCUUUAAGUGGGGAAAACAGGGUUUUUCCCCCCCAAUUAGAUGUGGUAAAUAGUCCUAUUCAUCUAAGGUGGAACUCUUUUGAAAAUGUAUUAUUCCAUCUAUGGACUAUUUAUGAUCUUCAAAUUUAAAGGUUAGGCCUAGGGUAACAGAGUUAUUUUAGAAAUACAUAUUUGGAUCCAGCUACAAUCUUGAAAGCCUAUCCUUAAAAUUGGUAAGAAAAGAAUUUAUUUUCUUUUUCCAUUUUCUCUAUGUAAUAAGAGACACUAUUUUCUAUCUCUACCUUUCUCUUUCACAUACACAUGCUUAAGGUAGAACUUGGACUAAUUUGUGUUCAUAUGGAAUAUAGAUAAGCACAUUUGUUAAUUAAACCUUAUUUGUUUACUUUUUGCUACAUAUUUUUAAUAUAUAAGGAAGAUUUUACAAUAUUCUGAGAAUUAUAAUUGUCUUAAAAUGCUAGGAGAAGAACCUUAAUAGGAACUGUAAAACUAUGAAACAAAAACAAAACAACAUAAAUUUUCUCCUGCUGAGGUCAGUGAGGAUCACAUAUAUUUAGGAGAUCUUGCUUAAAAUAAUUAGUAUAAAAUAAACAUGACUCUUAAUGGCUGUGUACAUUGUAAUUCUUCCUAAAAGAAGACCGUACUGAAUUACAUCUUUAGUUACUACCAUAUCAGUUAGGGUUUAAUCCAGAAAAUAGAUCCAUUAUAAGUGAUAUGGAGGUAUAAAUUCAUUUAAGGGUCUAGAUCAUAUGUAAUUGUUGGAACUAGUUGAGAAAGUCUAUGGAAAGCUGUUGCUACUGUAUUGGUUCUGAAAUUGUAGGCCAUCAGUACUGGCAGCCAGGAGCAAUUUCCAAUGGAAGCAGAGCAUAGUAAGAACCAACUGGAACCUGCAAGGAAGAAUUGGAACUUAAUCUGUCUCUCACUACCGCAAUUCUUGAUGACACAGGUGACCUUCAGAGGAAGCGGAUAGUUUUUCCCAUGGAUAUGCAUUUAUACCUAGUCCAUGACUUGGAGAAGAUGAUGAAGGAGGUACAGUGGGAGGUGGAAGAGUCACAAGCCCAGCUGUGUCCUGUGCCCAGAUUGAAUUACGAAGAGACCAUACUUUGGAAAAAUGGCCUGAUGAUAAGGCCAAAAUGAUAAUGAUGAGUGUCUGUCAGGAGGAUUCUUUCAUGUAAUAGACAGCCUUUUGCUAAACAGUUUUCCCUUGGUUGUUGUUCCACUCUCUGAGAUAAAUAAGCGAGACUAUCCAACAAUCCAAAUCUGUGGACACAAUUAGUCCCAAGACACCUGUAAGCCAUGACGAGGACCAGGGAGGACUGUUGUGGUCCUGGCCCUGAAUGUCUAGGCGGCCACCUUGCCUAAAUCCAAAUGAAGAAGUCCCCUGAAAAGCUGAAAAACUGGAUGUCUUUGGAGGUAGAAAGAAAUGGAAGUCUUGUCACUGGGCAUAAAUUGCAUCCAUAAAUCCUUUUCAUAAGAGAAAGACCCAUUCUUCAGAAACAGCCUCCAGAUGCUAUGCCGCAGAUGCAGAAGAAUGGCAUUGGUAGGUACAAGAGGGUUAAGAGCAGCCUGACAUCACCAAACACCUGCUACAGGCUCCAUCUUUUCUUCCACAACAUUACCCAUUA
Long non-coding RNA from Prionailurus viverrinus (fishing cat), 5918 nucleotides. RefSeq lists it as uncharacterized. The transcript is spliced from 5 exons. NCBI's taxonomy places the organism in Eukaryota, Metazoa, Chordata, Mammalia, Carnivora, Felidae. The record is from RefSeq and is a predicted model, not a curated record.